RNAcentral lists this long non-coding RNA (1112 nucleotides) under Phasianus colchicus (ring-necked pheasant). RNAcentral describes it as "lncRNA (ENSPCLG00000013037.1)". The record is from RNAcentral. Lineage: Eukaryota; Metazoa; Chordata; Aves; Galliformes; Phasianidae.
UGAACCCGUUUUCUUUUUCAGAGCUGCUUUUUUCCCCUCCAGAAUACACCAGCUUUUCUUUGUCAGCCUUUCAAACCAAGGAGUUUACGAGAAACUCAGCCAGCUCUCAGCAACCCUCAAGAGAUGUGAUGGAGCCCUACUGUAUGAUCUGCAGCCUGUAGCUCUUCACACUACUAGUUGGUAUAACACAUCUCACUGCUGAAGCCAAUAUCAUACACCUCAGCCUUGGAGCUCUGUGUGCUCCUCUGGCAGCAGCAGGGCUGGAGUGAGAUGGGUUGCAGGCUGUGAGUCAAUCAGCUGCUUAAAAUGUAAUGCUGCUUUCCCAAUAAAACCAAGACUGGUGGGUGACACAGUGGGAAGUGCCCAAUCUAGUCUUUGCUCUUUUUUUUUUUUUCCUUUGUGAAAGCAACCAUGAUCUGUGCAACUUCUUUUAGAUUUAAACAGGGUUGGUGAAUGUAGAGCUGGUUGGGGUAAGAGUUCAAAAACAAGUCUAGCUCUUUUUGAUUUGAAUUUAAGACAGUGAUAUCUUGGCUUUUUUUCUGAAGUACACGUGCAGUGCAUCUGUGUGCUCUCAGCAUACUUGUCAUGCACCAGGGCAAAAAGGAAACAAGACGAACCCACCAAUCAAUGAGCUUCUGUGUUGAAGAGGAUCUCCUCUUCCUGUCUGAGGAGAAACAUAAAAGAAGAGGCUUUAUGAUGGGAGAAAUUUCUGUUCCACUUUUACCUGUUCUGCAUUGAAUGACAUUAAGGAUGUACUCUUCUUGCUUGCGUUUUUAUGUGAAGCAAGAAUUAAGUAUAUCUAAUGGGCACAUGUGACUCAGACAUUUGAUACUGUUAUAAGAGUAAAGGAAUAAUCCUACUUUAAUACAUGUAAUUGUGCAAUCCUGAGAAAGCUGAUUUUGUACAUCCAAGAGGACUUGAUCUUACAUUUCCAGGUGUGGGAUGGGAGAUAACAAUUAGCUGCAGGACAAUUAGAUGAGUAUCCUGCUGCUUCUCCAAGCGUGCGAAUACAUCUCAUAGGCACUGCAGUUAUUCUUUGUUCUCACCCAGCUCACUGCCAACUUGCCUCGGUUUACCAAAGCUUUGCAACUUAAAUUUGCUAUUGCAGUCAC